AACCAGGUGACUGCACAUGCAGCAGACAUCUAAAUGUGCCCAACUCAUGCAAUCUGAAAACACAAUUGUCUUCACUUUUCACACAUUCUUGCAUAUGAAUCACAUACCUCCUUUGUUCAAAGUGACACUCUGUAUUCCUUUAAACUACCGUACACAAAAUUAAAGGAAUGGGCAACUCAAGCUCCUUCCUCAACUUUUCCCACAACGUAGUGCUCCUGAUUGAGGCUUAAAAACAUUCUAAUCAUAUAUACCAGAGAAGGCAGUAAUUCACAAAAUGUUUCUGAAUGAAACUGUCUAAAAAUACUCUCUCAGCAAAAAAAGGGAUUGCUUCUGGAUCACUGAUAAUUGAGAACGAAAUGUGCACUGUUCCUUCUCACUGAAGUUCAGACUUCUAGCAGAAAGGGUCAUGCUAUGUCUACAAGCAGUUACUAGUUCAAAUCUCAACUGAUCCAUCACACAGGUGACAUUUUUCAGGAAAACUAAAUUGUCUUUAAAAAUCUAGAUUCUUAAAAAAAAAAAAUCAUUUUCUCACUUUAAGCAUAAGAACAUGAGAAAAAGAAGAAUGGACUGAGCCAUUUUUUGGAGAAUACACAUAUUGGAGGAUUUUAUCUUGGGCUGCUGAAGGAAAGAAGAAAAGGUUUUGUGGACAGAGAAAAAAUAAAAACAAAUGUGGCUUCAACAGCAGCAAAGGAGAUUGUCCAGAUCUGGAAUACUACCUGGGCUCUGAGGUCUGAGUGCAAGCUGAGAAACUGAAGAUAGAGCUGCGGGAGGAUGAGGAAGAAAGAGAUGAGCUCCUCAAAGAGGGAGUAAAGUUCAGCAAACACAAACAUCAAAGGACAUGAAAGUUUACUGUCCAUCUUCCACCUCCAUCAAAUGCCAUGAAAGAAGUACCACAGACAAAAACAUUUAUCAAAGUAAAAAGCAUUAUUGAUACUGAAAAGAAACUGUACCAAGCCAAGAAAGACAGCAUAGGGGUAGCUGCUUGUUCAUUGGAAAGAUCAACUGCACCUCCUGGUGGCAAACAAAAAAUUACCAACCUCUAAUGUGGACAGACAGUUUUCCCUCUUCGAAACAAAACAAACAAAAUAAUAAAUGUUAUUCAUUUUAA
This is a long non-coding RNA of Chelonia mydas (Green sea turtle), 1108 nucleotides long. RefSeq lists it as uncharacterized. Lineage: Eukaryota; Metazoa; Chordata; Testudines; Cheloniidae. The record is from RefSeq and is a predicted model, not a curated record. The transcript has 2 exons.